CUCAGGAUGAACGCUAGCUACAGGCUUAACACAUGCAAGUCGAGGGGCAGCAUUUUAGUUUGCUUGCAAACUAAAGAUGGCGACCGGCGCACGGGUGAGUAACACGUAUCCAACCUGCCGAUAACUCGGGGAUAGCCUUUCGAAAGAAAGAUUAAUAUCCGAUAGUAUAUUAAAACCGCAUGGUUUUACUAUUAAAGAAUUUCGGUUAUCGAUGGGGAUGCGUUCCAUUAGUUUGUUGGCGGGGUAACGGCCCACCAAGACUACGAUGGAUAGGGGUUCUGAGAGGAAGGUCCCCCACAUUGGAACUGAGACACGGUCCAAACUCC
RNAcentral lists this ribosomal RNA (326 nucleotides) under Shigella flexneri 2a. RNAcentral describes it as "bacterial SSU rRNA". It matches the Rfam family "Bacterial small subunit ribosomal RNA", at positions 23 to 339 of the family's 1533-position model. Lineage: Bacteria; Pseudomonadati; Pseudomonadota; Gammaproteobacteria; Enterobacterales; Enterobacteriaceae. The record is from RNAcentral.